This 304-nucleotide small nuclear RNA is filed under the name Sorex araneus (European shrew). RNAcentral describes it as "7SK RNA (ENSSARG00000019016.1)". It matches the Rfam family "7SK RNA". From Rfam's summary of the family: 7SK was discovered as an abundant small nuclear RNA in the mid-70s but a possible function has only recently been suggested. Two independent studies have found that 7SK RNA binds the CDK9/cyclin T complex (known as elongation factor P-TEFb). Lineage: Eukaryota; Metazoa; Chordata; Mammalia; Eulipotyphla; Soricidae. The record is from RNAcentral.
UGAAGUGAGGGUGAUUUGGCUGCGACAUCUUGUCACCCCCAUUGAUUGUCAGGGCUGGAUUCAACUGAAGUGGCUGCGUAGGUGGGUGUCCAGGAGCUUCCCUCUCAAAGUUGCACUUUCAGAUACAGAGAACAGCCUUCCCCGGACAGAGGCAGAUCAUUCUUCGGGCAGAGCUAUAGGAGUAGCUGUGCUCUCUUGCUUGAGCUUCCAUACACACUCUCAAAGUCCAAAACUAACGAAGAACAACAGCAACAAAAGGUCCAUGAGCUUUGUGUCAUGCACUGAAGCCAGUAAGAGUACAGAC